CGAAUCAUCUGGAAAGAUGAAUCAAAGAAGGUAAUAAUCCUGUAGUCGAAAAUGUUGUCUCUCUUGAGUGGAUCCUGAGUACGACGGAGCACGUGAAAUUCCGUCGGAAUCUGGGAGGACCAUCUCCUAAGGCUAAAUACUCUCUAGUGACCGAUAGUGAACCAGUACCGUGAGGGAAAGGUGAAAAGCACCCCGGAAGGGGAGUGAAAUAGAACCUGAAACCGUGUGCUUACAAGUAGUCAGAGCCCGUUAAUGGGUGAUGGCGUGCCUUUUGUAGAAUGAACCGGCGAGUUACGAUUUGAUGCAAGGUUAAGCAGUAAAUGUGGAGCCGUAGCGAAAGCGAGUCUGAAUAGGGCGUUUAGUAUUUGGUCGUAGACCCGAAACCAGGUGAUCUACCCUUGGUCAGGUUGAAGUUCAGGUAACACUGAAUGGAGGACCGAACCGACUUACGUUGAAAAGUGAGCGGAUGAACUGAGGGUAGCGGAGAAAUUCCAAUCGAACCUGGAGAUAGCUGGUUCUCUCCGAAAUAGCUUUAGGGCUAGCCUCAAGUGAUGAUUAUUGGAGGUAGAGCACUGUUUGGACGAGGGGCCCCUCUCGGGUUACCGAAUUCAGACAAACUCCGAAUGCCAAUUAAUUUAACUUGGGAGUCAGAACAUGGGUGAUAAGGUCCGUGUUCGAAAGGGAAACAGCCCAGACCACCAGCUAAGGUCCCAAAAUAUAUGUUAAGUGGAAAAGGAUGUGGCGUUGCCCAGACAACUAGGAUGUUGGCUUAGAAGCAGCCAUCAUUUAAAGAGUGCGUAAUAGCUCACUAGUCGAGUGACACUGCGCCGAAAAUGUACCGGGGCUAAACAUAUUACCGAAGCUGUGGAUUGUCCUUUGGACAAUGGUAGGAGAGCGUUCUAAGGGCGUUGAAGCAUGAUCGUAAGGACAUGUGGAGCGCUUAGAAGUGAGAAUGCCGGUGUGAGUAGCGAAAGACGGGUGAGAAUCCCGUCCACCGAUUGACUAAGGUUUCCAGAGGAAGGCUCGUCCGCUCUGGGUUAGUCGGGUCCUAAGCUGAGGCCGACAGGCGUAGGCGAUGGAUAACAGGUUGAUAUUCCUGUACCACCUAUAAUCGUUUUAAUCGAUGGGGGGACGCAGUAGGAUAGGCGAAGCGUGCGAUUGGAUUGCACGUCUAAGCAGUAAGGCUGAGUAUUAGGCAAAUCCGGUACUCGUUAAGGCUGAGCUGUGAUGGGGAGAAGACAUUGUGUCUUCGAGUCGUUGAUUUCACACUGCCGAGAAAAGCCUCUAGAUAGAAAAUAGGUGCCCGUACCGCAAACCGACACAGGUAGUCAAGAUGAGAAUUCUAAGGUGAGCGAGCGAACUCUCGUUAAGGAACUCGGCAAAAUGACCCCGUAACUUCGGGAGAAGGGGUGCUCUUUAGGGUUAACGCCCAGAAGAGCCGCAGUGAAUAGGCCCAAGCGACUGUUUAUCAAAAACACAGGUCUCUGCUAAACCGUAAGGUGAUGUAUAGGGGCUGACGCCUGCCCGGUGCUGGAAGGUUAAGAGGAGUGGUUAGCUUCUGCGAAGCUACGAAUCGAAGCCCCAGUAAACGGCGGCCGUAACUAUAACGGUCCUAAGGUAGCGAAAUUCCUUGUCGGGUAAGUUCCGACCCGCACGAAAGGCGUAACGAUUUGGGCACUGUCUCAACGAGAGACUCGGUGAAAUCAUAGUACCUGUGAAGAUGCAGGUUACCCGCGACAGGACGGAAAGACCCCGUGGAGCUUUACUGUAGCCUGAUAUUGAAAUUCGGCACAGCUUGUACAGGAUAGGUAGGAGCCUUUGAAACGUGAGCGCUAGCUUACGUGGAGGCGCUGGUGGGAUACUACCCUAGCUGUGUUGGCUUUCUAACCCGCACCACUUAUCGUGGUGGGAGACAGUGUCAGGCGGGCAGUUUGACUGGGGCGGUCGCCUCCUAAAAGGUAACGGAGGCGCUCAAAGGUUCCCUCAGAAUGGUUGGAAAUCAUUCAUAGAGUGUAAAGGCAUAAGGGAGCUUGACUGCGAGACCUACAAGUCGAGCAGGGUCGAAAGACGGACUUAGUGAUCCGGUGGUU
This 2090-nucleotide ribosomal RNA is filed under the name Staphylococcus aureus. RNAcentral describes it as "partial 23S ribosomal RNA". It matches the Rfam family "Bacterial large subunit ribosomal RNA", at positions 334 to 2428 of the family's 2925-position model. Lineage: Bacteria; Bacillati; Bacillota; Bacilli; Caryophanales; Staphylococcaceae. The record is from RNAcentral.